AAGCACUCGCCGAAGAAGACUAAAUCAGGAACAUGGACAUUGAAGCAAGGAGAUAGAAGAAUCGAUUGAAUUAGAAUCAGGUAGGCUGUUAACGUAGGGGGAAGUAAGGGAGUAGGAGGGAGAGGGAGAAGGUGAGGUUUUCUUUAAAGAUUUUUUAAAAUUAAAAAAUAUUUUUCUGUUUUUAAUAAAUUUUAAAGUCGAAGGAUUUUCGAUUUUAACAGAAUAAACAUAUAAAUAUAUAAAAUUUAAAUGUUUGAUUAUAGAAUAUUGAUUAAUCCAUUAAUUAUUUCAUUAAUUAUGUUAAAAUUUAAUUUUGUUUAAAGAUUAAAGUUUUUUUUUUCUUUUAAAUUAUUAUUGAACGAUUACAUAGGUCGAUGAUGCUCUAGCACGUGAUUUUGCCGAUCCACCUCUUGCUUGGAUUAUAAAAAAGCGUCCAGCUAUCUCUGAUCAGCCUCUGGUAACAGACUUUUGGACAUGUCGGAAAGCUAUCUUAUUGACAAGGACAGGGUUUUCCAAAGGGUUUGC
Molecule: long non-coding RNA, 525 nt
Filed under: Manihot esculenta (cassava)
Lineage: Eukaryota; Viridiplantae; Streptophyta; Magnoliopsida; Malpighiales; Euphorbiaceae
Description: long non-coding RNA (MESC_LNC007485)
Source: RNAcentral